GUUUUCUGAAGCCUGUGGUCAGCAUGAGGAGCAAUGUCAGCAGGGCUGGGCUCAUCCACCAGGGGCAUGACUCACCAGCUGGUGGGCAGGCGAGGUUGCUCUCCUGUGAAAGAGCCCAGGGCACCCAGAAGAGGCCCUUUUGAAGGUGAGUGCCCAGGAAUGCCUGGGGGAUCAGGAAGGCACAGUUGAGGUGAGUGUUGCUAGGCUGAUAUUCUAUGCAAAUGACUCAAAGGAGAAUUUAGACCUUCAGGGGAAUGAUGCUUAUUAUACAAGGGACAUCAGGAACUGCACUGGCUGGGUGGGAGACUGGCAUGGAGCCAUGUUACCCAGGGUCAGCAGGAUGAGGGGGUGUGGAGCACAGAGGUGUGACCCUGGGAACAGCUGAGUGGAGUGAGAACAGGUCGGAGCAGCAGGUUUCCCAGAGGUGGACUUACGUCCAGUCCCAGGGUGAAUAGGUGAGGGCAGGAAGAGGAGCUGGGCUCUGCCUCAAGGUUCUCAGCUAGAAGGGAGCCUGUGUAUGUUUUGUCAAGCAACCUGCUAUUAUGCCCUGAGGUACUCUCACAGGCAGCACAGAGCUGCCCAUGCCACUGAGCUGGGCUUCCUGCCUGUCCAUUCAUCCCAAAUGUAUUUUUCCACAGCAGGGCUCCUAGAGGGGCCGUCCUCGCCUUAGAUCCCGAGUGUGAAAAUCUUCAAAGCUUGAUACCAGGAUGUUGGAGCCCGACACUGGCCACCCUCUCUGACUUGCCUCUCCGAGGUGCUUCUUGUGCUUCCGCCAUGAUGGCCAGGCAGUCCUGAGCUCUCUGGCCUCCCUGCCUCUGCUUAGGCUUUUCCUUGCAGUUGGAUCUCAAUAUCCCUCAUGCACUUUACUAGUCGUUGCCAAAUCCUUAGCACAGAAGUGGACUCGCCAUGAGUACUGAGGCCUUUCCCUGGUGUGGUCCCAUCUGCAGACCUGGAGGCACCAUGGUGAGGUCAGUUCCCAUGGAUGUGUUUUGUAAAAUUUGCAAAUGGAAGAUAAACAGAUUAAGACCUCUGUCUCUUUAUACCCAACUUUGCCUCCACACACUUCAUUAGUUUCUUGUGGUGUUGAAGUGACUUUGAACUUUUGGGGGAUCAGGCUUAGGGAAAAUUAAGUUGGGGAGACAUUUAAUUUAGAUCUGGUAGAACACUGAUGCAAUUUCCAGACUUUUCGGCAUAGGCUGAGUUAUUGCUAGCUCUUCUAUGUAGACAUGGCUUCCAGGAAUUCUCCUCCCCCUGCUCUGGGCCGAUUCAUGUGGCAUCGCUACAUGGAGUUCAAGGUAAUCGUGCCUGAGGCAUCUGUCCCUGAAGCCAGGUCACUAGGGAAACAGAAACAGAACCUGCAGUGUGUGUGGCCCAUCUGGUGAGUGGACCUGAAAGGAGAAAAUUCCAUUUUCAUCUCGCCCCAUGAAAAGGUUAAUUCUUCUGUCAGGAAUCUGCCGGACGCUGCAAACACAAUUAGGGAUGCACAGUGGCCUGAGGGGUGAG
Molecule: long non-coding RNA, 1503 nt
Filed under: Marmota monax (woodchuck)
Lineage: Eukaryota; Metazoa; Chordata; Mammalia; Rodentia; Sciuridae
Source: RNAcentral